RNAcentral lists this ribosomal RNA (497 nucleotides) under uncultured bacterium. Its description in RNAcentral is "partial 16S ribosomal RNA". It matches the Rfam family "Bacterial small subunit ribosomal RNA", at positions 28 to 507 of the family's 1533-position model. The record is from RNAcentral.
GACGAACGCUGGCGGCGUGCCUAAUACAUGCAAGUAGAACGCUGAAGAGAGGAGCUUGCUCUUCUUGGAUGAGUUGCGAACGGGUGAGUAACGCGUAGGUAACCUGCCUUGUAGCGGGGGAUAACUAUUGGAAACGAUAGCUAAUACCGCAUAACAAUGGAUGACACAUGUCAUUUAUUUGAAAGGGGCAAUUGCUCCACUACAAGAUGGACCUGCGUUGUAUUAGCUAGUAGGUGAGGUAAUGGGUCACCUAGUCGAAGAUACAUAGCCAACCUGAGAGGGUGAUCGGCCACACUCGGACUGAGACACGGCCCAGACGACUACGUGAGGCAGCAGUAGGGAAUCCUCGGCGAGUGGGGCAACCCUGACGGAGCAACGCCGCGUGAGGGAAGAAGGUUUUCGGAUCGUAAAGCUCUGUUGUAAGUCAAGAACGGGUGUGAGAGUGGAAAGUUCACUCUGUGACGGUAGCUGACCAGAAAGGGACGGCUAACUACGUG